RNAcentral lists this non-coding RNA (29 nucleotides) under Mus musculus (house mouse). The record is from RNAcentral. Lineage: Eukaryota; Metazoa; Chordata; Mammalia; Rodentia; Muridae.
UACCUUAGUUGCCUGCAAUUCUUCAUCUA